GAUGAACGCUGGCGGCGUGCUUAACACAUGCAAGUCGAACGGGAAACCUUUUAUUGAAGCUUCGGCAGAUUUAGCUGGUUUCUAGUGGCGGACGGGUGAGUAACGCGUGGGUAACCUGCCUUAUACAGGGGGAUAACAGUCAGAAAUGACUGCUAAUACCGCAUAAGCGCACAGAGCUGCAUGGCUCGGUGUGAAAAACUCCGGUGGUAUAAGAUGGACCCGCGUUGGAUUAGCUGGUUGGUGAGGUAACGGCCCACCAAGGCGACGAUCCAUAGCCGGCCUGAGAGGGUGAACGGCCACAUUGGGACUGAGACACGGCCCAGACUCCUACGGGAGGCAGCAGUGGGGAAUAUUGCACAAUGGGGGAAACCCUGAUGCAGCGACGCCGCGUGAAGGAAGAAGUAUCUCGGUAUGUAAACUUCUAUCAGCAGGGAAGAAAAUGACGGUACCUGACUAAGAAGCCCCGG
Molecule: ribosomal RNA, 467 nt
Filed under: uncultured bacterium
Lineage: Bacteria
Description: bacterial SSU rRNA
Rfam family: Bacterial small subunit ribosomal RNA
Source: RNAcentral